This 499-nucleotide ribosomal RNA is filed under the name uncultured bacterium. RNAcentral's name for it is "bacterial SSU rRNA". It matches the Rfam family "Bacterial small subunit ribosomal RNA", at positions 791 to 1297 of the family's 1533-position model. The record is from RNAcentral.
UAGUCCACGCCCUAAACGAUGCUCACUCGGUAUUGGCGAUAUAAUGUCAGUGCCUAAGGGAAACCAUUAAGUGAGCCACCUGGGGAGUACGUUCGCAAGAAUGAAACUCAAAGGAAUUGACGGGGGCCCGCACAAGCGGUGGAGCAUGUGGUUUAAUUCGAUGAUACGCGAGGAACCUUACCAGGGCUUAAAUGCAGUAUGACAGAUUUGGAAACAGAUUUUUCUUCGGACAUAUUGCAAGGUGCUGCAUGGUUGUCGUCAGCUCGUGCCGUGAGGUGUCAGGUUAAGUCCUAUAACGAGCGCAACCCCUAUUGCUAGUUGCCAGCGGAUAAUGCCGGGGACUCUAGUGAGACUGCCGGUGCAAACCGUGAGGAAGGUGGGGAUGACGUCAAAUCAUCACGGCCCUUACGUCCUGGGCCACACACGUGCUACAAUGGUAGGGACAGAGAGCAGCCACUUCGCGAGAAGGAGCGAAUCUAUAACCCUAUCACAGUUCGGA